Molecule: ribosomal RNA, 437 nt
Filed under: uncultured bacterium
Lineage: Bacteria
Description: bacterial SSU rRNA
Rfam family: Bacterial small subunit ribosomal RNA
Source: RNAcentral
AUGGGAACGCGAAGAACCUUACCUAGACUUGACAUCUCCUGAAUAGUGUAGAGAUACAUGAAGCCCUUCGGGGCAGGAAGACAGGUGGUGCAUGGUUGUCGUCAGCUCGUGUCGUGAGAUGUUGGGUUAAGUCCCGCAACGAGCGCAACCCUUAUUACUAGUUGCUACCAUUAAGUUGAGCACUCUAGUGAGACUGCCCGGGGUUAACCGGGAGGAAGGCGGGGAUGACGUCAAAUCAUCAUGCCCCUUAUGUCUAGGGCAACACACGUGCUACAAUGGUGAGUACAGAUAGAUGCGAUACCGCAAGGUGGAGCCAAACUCUAAAACUCAUCCCAGUUCGGAUUGUAGGCUGAAACUCGCCUACAUGAAGUUGGAGUUGCUAGUAAUCGCGAAUCAGAAUGUCGCGGUGAAUACGUUCCCGGGUCUUGUACACACCG